GGUUUGGUCCUGGCUCAGAUUGAACGCUGGCGGAUGCUUUACACAUGCAAGUUUAAACGGCAGCACGGACUUCGGUCUGGUGGCGAGUGGCGAACGGGUGAGUAAUGUAUCGGAACGUGCUCAUAGCGGGGAUAACUACGCGAAAGCGUAGCUACCGCAUACGCCCUUCGGGGGAAAGCGGGGACCUUCGGGCCUCGCAACACUGCACGACGAUCAUCAGCUGCGUGGCAACGGCUCACCAACGCGACGAUCCGUAGCUGGUUUGAGAGCACGACCAGCCACACUGGGAUCGACAUUACCAGUCCAGACUCCUACGGGAGGCAGCAGUGGGGAAUUUUGGAUAAUGGGGGAAACCCUGAUCCAUCAGCCACCGGCAAACGCCAAAGGCCUUCGGGUUGUAAAACAUAACUCUCCAGGAAAGAAACGGUGAUUGGAUAAUACCCCGUGCAACUGACGGUACCUGCAGAAUAAGCACCGGCUAACUACGUGCCAGCAGCCGCGGUAAUACGUAGGAUGCAAGCGCUAACUGGAACAUCACCCAUGAAGCGUGCGCAGGCGGUUCGGAAAGAAAGAUGUGAAAUCCUGAGUCUCAUCCUUGGAACCGCAUUUUUAACUACCGAGCUAGAGUGUGUCAGAGGGAGGUGGAAUUCCGCGUGUAGCAGUGAAAGUCGCGUAGAUAUGCGGAGGAACACCGAUGGCGAAGUCACUCUCCGGCAGAUAACACUGACGCUCACGCACGAAAACAUGGGAGCAAAACAGGAUUAGAUAAAUUCUGCAAUCCACGCCCUAAACGAUGUCAACUAGCUGCUGAUUUCGGGCUCCGGUAGCGCAGCUAACGCGUGAAGUUGACCGCCUGGGGAGUACGGUCGCAAGAUUAAAACUCAAAGGAAUUGACGGGCAGUCCCACAAGCGGUGGAUGUGAUGUGGAUUAAUUCGAUCAGCGAAAACCUUACCUACCCUGACAUGUCUGGAAUCCCGAAGAGGAUUUGGGAGUGUCUCGCAAGAGAACCGAACACAGGUGCUGGGCGCUCGUCGUCACCCGGAAUGGAGAUGUUAAGCAAGUCCGCAACGAGGCAACCUUGUCAUUAGUUGCUGAAAGGAACACCCUCGAACUGAGACUGCCGGUGACAACCGAGGUAUGUCAACAUCAAGUCCUCGUCACCCGCGAGCGGUGAAAUGCCACAUCGCCACGGCGGCACGCUGACAGAGGGUCGCCAACCCGCGAGGGGAGCCAAUCCCAGAAACCGAUCGUAGUCCGCAGUUCGCAACUCGACUGGUGUACAGUUUGUCCAAACUCAGUAAUCGCGGAUCAGCACGUCGCGGUGAACAUUGUUCCGGGUCUUGUACACCGCCCGUCACACCGGCGCCAGUUUUACCAGAAGUAGUUACCUAACCGUAAGGAGGCUUAUAAUACCACGGUAGGAUUCAUGACUGGGGUGAAGUCGGAAUAGCGUAACCUGUUACUGUCUGGAUGCCCUGUG
Molecule: ribosomal RNA, 1481 nt
Filed under: uncultured Bordetella sp.
Lineage: Bacteria; Pseudomonadati; Pseudomonadota; Betaproteobacteria; Burkholderiales; Alcaligenaceae
Description: partial 16S-23S ribosomal RNA intergenic spacer
Rfam family: Bacterial small subunit ribosomal RNA
Source: RNAcentral